UACGUAGGGUGCGAGCGUUGUCCGGAAUUACUGGGUGUAAAGGGAGCGUAGGCGGGAAGAUAAGUUGGACGUCAAAUCUACAGGCUCAACCUGUAGCCGCGUUCAAAACUGUCUUUCUUGAGUGAAGUAGAGGCAGGCGGAAUUCCUAGUGUAGCGGUGAAAUGCGUAGAUAUUAGGAGGAACACCAGUGGCGAAGGCGGCCUGCUGGGCUUUUACUGACGCUGAGGCUCGAAAGCGUGGGGAGCAAACA
This 250-nucleotide ribosomal RNA is filed under the name uncultured bacterium. Its description in RNAcentral is "partial 16S ribosomal RNA". It matches the Rfam family "Bacterial small subunit ribosomal RNA", at positions 524 to 774 of the family's 1533-position model. The record is from RNAcentral.